Molecule: ribosomal RNA, 455 nt
Filed under: uncultured Acidovorax sp.
Lineage: Bacteria; Pseudomonadati; Pseudomonadota; Betaproteobacteria; Burkholderiales; Comamonadaceae
Description: bacterial SSU rRNA
Rfam family: Bacterial small subunit ribosomal RNA
Source: RNAcentral
CACAAGCGGUGGAUGAUGUGGUUAAUUCGAUGCAACGCGAAAACCUUACCACCUUUGACAUGUACGGAAUCCUUUAGAGAUAGAGGAGUGCUCGAAAGAGAGCCGUAACACAGGUGCUGCAUGGCUGUCGUCAGCUCGUGUCGUGAGAUGUUGGGUUAAGUCCCGCAACGAGCGCAACCCUUGUCAUUAGUUGCUACAUUCAGUUGGGCACUCUAAUGAGACUGCCGGUGACAAACCGGAGGAAGGUGGGGAUGACGUCAAGUCCUCAUGGCCCUUAUAGGUGGGGCUACACACGUCAUACAAUGGAUGGUACAAAGGGUCGCCAACCCGCGAGGGGGAGCCAAUCCCAUAAAGCCAUUCGUAGUCCGGAUCGCAGUCUGCAACUCGACUGCGUGAAGUCGGAAUCGCUAGUAAUCGUGGAUCAGAAUGUCACGGUGAAUACGUUCCCGGGUCUU